CGUCAUUACACCGAAACACAUUAGGAAAGAAUGGAGGACUUGAGGACUCUUCAUUGGACUGAUGCUCACCUGCGUACACGAGAGAAUUAAUUAAUGUGGUAAUGAAUGAAUGAAUGAAUGAAUUAAGCAAGCUGAUCACCGACCAACCAAUGACGUAAAGCAAGAUCUUGAUUAGUCCGCUGAUCCAAUGGUGAAAUUUGAAGAUCCAAAUGGCAAAUAUGACUCCGAAGCAAGCGCCAAUGUUUAGAAUGUUACCUAUAAGUCCAAGCUCCGUAAUAGUAGCGAUAAAUCUGAUCCUCAUACCCUCUGUGACGCUGGAACACCAGCCAAGUGACACACCGAGGGUAAAACCACCGAGUGAAACUGAAAUUUCAGGAAUAUAUUAUUAUCAGGUUAAA
Molecule: long non-coding RNA, 398 nt
Organism: Vespula pensylvanica (western yellowjacket)
Lineage: Eukaryota; Metazoa; Arthropoda; Insecta; Hymenoptera; Vespidae
Exons: 2
Source: RefSeq, a predicted model, not a curated record